CAGCCCCUGAGCCGCCACUGGGAGAUGCCGCCGGACCUGGCCCUCAUCAAGAUGCUGAUAGGAAUCGGGGGCUUCGUCGUGGGCUUCGUCUUCCUGGCGCUGGGGCUCGGCUUCUACCUGCGCAAGAAGAGCUCCUGAGCCGCCGCCGGCCGCAGCCCCUCCCCGUGGCCUCGGGCCCGCCCGGGACCCCCC
This is a long non-coding RNA of Onychostruthus taczanowskii (white-rumped snowfinch), 192 nucleotides long. RefSeq lists it as uncharacterized. The record is from RefSeq and is a predicted model, not a curated record. The transcript has 3 exons. Lineage: Eukaryota; Metazoa; Chordata; Aves; Passeriformes; Passeridae.